GAGCAUCGUGGCCACGACGGUCGGCAGC
Molecule: small RNA, 28 nt
Filed under: Bombyx mori (domestic silkworm)
Lineage: Eukaryota; Metazoa; Arthropoda; Insecta; Lepidoptera; Bombycidae
Description: ovarian small RNA-2701
Source: RNAcentral